UGAUUGUUUUGUCUUUGUUUUGUGUGAACCUAAUGCCAAAAGGAGAAAGGACUUAGAAUUAGGACAUACCCAUGCUUAAAGGAGUUCAAGAGCAACUAGGCCUCAUGCCUUUACAAUGCUAAACUUGUUGAAGAGCAACUAGGCCUCAUGCCUUUAGAAUGCUAAAUUUCAAAGUUGACUUUAAAAGGACUUCUCUUCCAAACCUAUUCUUUGUCCAUUCCCUUUAUUGUAUUGUGAACUUUUUGAUGUUUGCUCUUAUGUGGUAGGGAUUCC
RNAcentral lists this long non-coding RNA (273 nucleotides) under Lathyrus oleraceus (garden pea). RNAcentral's name for it is "Pisum sativum (pea) long non-coding RNA (PSAT_LNC012983)". The record is from RNAcentral. Lineage: Eukaryota; Viridiplantae; Streptophyta; Magnoliopsida; Fabales; Fabaceae.